RNAcentral lists this long non-coding RNA (3145 nucleotides) under Monodelphis domestica (gray short-tailed opossum). RNAcentral's name for it is "lncRNA (ENSMODG00000044516.1)". Lineage: Eukaryota; Metazoa; Chordata; Mammalia; Didelphimorphia; Didelphidae. The record is from RNAcentral.
GGGCCGGAAAGGAACUUAACCCAUCGUUGCUGGGGGCUGUCGCUCCUUACCGGGCCGUCGCGCCUUACAAAGAGGAAUGAUUGUUGGUUUUUUUUUUUUUUAAUGAAUGGAGGGCGGCGGCAAGCAGCAGCUGCAGCUGGAUCAGCUGCGCGUGCUGUACCCCACCCGGCCUGGGAAAGAAGGGGAACCUGGCAGAGCUGGAUGUCCCUGCCUGUUGUUGUGGCUGUUACUGAUGGAUGAUGCAGAUGAUGAAGAUUUCACUUCAAGUCUCAACACGGUGUUCCAGCAUGGGAUGCAGCAAGGGUCAAACCCUGAUCACUUCUAAAGGCCCAGAAAAAAAAAAGAACAAGAAAGGAAGAAGACAAUGUACUCAAAAUCACCGAGUGGAAGAGAACACAUCGCUGAGCCUUUUAAGAAGUGAUUAUUCUUAGGGUGAGAUUCAAAGGAGAAGGCAGUCAAGUGCCCACACAGGGAUUCCAUUGUGGGAACUUUGAGUCAUUGGGAGAUGACUCUUAGGCAUUUUUGCCGUAGCUCAGAUGCCAGCAAUGAAAGAGUAUGAUGUAGGCUUUAAGAGUGAGGGAAUGGAUGAUGUGUUUUGGAAGAAAUAUUUGGAAAAAAAAGAAAUGAGAACUCCCGGCUUGAUUUGGCAAGGAGAAUGCUAAGCAAGCCAAGCAUUACAUGUUAUUCAGAAAUGAAAUGGCUGCUUGAGAAGCCAUAAUAAGAAUAGUUGACAUUUAUAGUGUUUUUUAAAGCUUACAAAGUUCUUUACAUGCAUUAUCUUACUUGACUCUCAAAACAACUCUGUGAAAUAGGUACUAUGUGAAGAGCUAUAAGUAACUUGGGGCAACCAAGGCUUUGUUCCAGGGCGUCAACACAGAGAAGGAGGGGUGCUGCUUUCCUGGGAGGGUAGGCUUCUUUUCAAAGGCAACCACAUCAGUGCACUUCACUCAACUUCAUGUACUUUAUAGGUCCACAUGCUACCCUGAAUAACAGCUUCUAAGCUAGCACUGUGGGUCCCAUUACCAUGACAUUUCUCUCUCAUGACCCACCUUCCUCCCCAUCUCCAAAGGGGAUACAAGCUAGAUUUUCUGGUGGGUGGGCUAUACCCUCACCAGGCAUGAAAGAAAUGAUCAGACCAUGCUCUGGAUUCUCACUAUUAUCCCCUGACACCCCUUUUCCCCAUCUGAAUUGGUCCUAAGUACAAAGUUUUGUCUCUGGCUUCUUGGGUUAUUAUCCGCAUUUUAUAGAUGAGAAAACAGAGAUAGAAGUAGAGUGAUUUGAACAUCAACAGACAGCUAACAGGUAUCAAUCAGAAGGAGGAUUUGAACCCAGGUUUUUGCUGGCUUGGGCUAGUGCUCUUUCCAUUACAUGCCCUUCUCUGAAAUGAUAAGCAUGACCAUAUGGCUGACAAGACAGUAAUGCUUAGGGUUAAUAAGUGAGACAUUGGGCAGAUUCAAGGAACAAAUGUGAAUGGGAGAUAGAAGAAGAGAAUGAAAUCAACCAUCUGGUUUUUAUCCAGGAAAAGAGGAAAAUACAGUAAUGUAGUUAUAUAGCAGCUCAGGAUGGGAUACUUUGUGCUUUAGGUGUGGGGAAGGAGGUCUUAAUUAUUAGUGCCAAGGUUGAAAGAGACCUUAGGAAAAAAAAGAAAGAAAGAGACCUUGGAAUAUGUUAGACCUAAAAAGUACAAGUACAAUUUCUGAUUUAAAAUUAUUUAUUUGUUUGCUUGUUACAUGAACAUUUCCAGAUAUAUCCCUUCCUCCCCUCCCUGCACUAGAGAAGGCAUCAUUUGACAAAAGAAUAUAUUGUUUAUAAAACUAUGUCUUGCUUGCUUCUAUUUAUCAGUUCUCUGAAAUUGGACAUACACAGGUUAUUCCUUUUCUUUUUUUCUUUAACCCUUACUUUCUGUCUUAAGUAAUACUCUAAGACAGAAGAGCAAGGGCUAGACAAACUGGGGUAUUGACUUGUCCAGGGUCACACAACUUGGGAGUUAUCUGAGGCCACAUUUGCACCCAGGUGCUCUCAACUCCAGACCUGGAGCUCCUAUUUACCGUAUCAACUACCUGCCCCACAAGUUAUUCUUCAAACAAUAUUUCUGUUGCUGUAUAUAAUGUUUUCUCAUUUCUGUUGAAUUUUAUAUCUUUAUAUCCUCUCUCCUCUCUGUAAUCUCAGCAUGGUGAGUCUUAGAACCUCACUGGGCUAGUAUUAGGGAGAAGAGAUGAACUGGGGAGUGGAAGAGUUAAAAACAAGAACAAGAAGAGAGUAGAAGAAUCAGGUUAAGAUCAGAUGGAAGUAUGAGUAUAUUAAUUCAUUUGUGCAAUUGUGAAUUGGUUGAUCCCUUCCAGAAAACAAUUUGGAAUUAUGUGAGAAAAAUGACCAAAAUGUCCAAACACAUUGAUCUAGCAAUGCCGCUGUGGUUUUCUACCCCUAAGAAGGCAGUAUCAUACAGAAAAAAAAGCCGUAUGUGCCCAAAUAUAGGUAGCAGAUUUAUAGAAUAAGAAAAAAAGGGACUAUGUGCAAACAGUGGGGGAAUGGCUAACCAACAUGAAGAAGUCAGACAAACAUGGUAAGAUUUGUAUGAACUGAUACAGAGUGAUGAAGGUGGAGCCAAAAGAAGAGUAUGCACAGUGAUGACAAUGAGGUAAAUGAAGGUAAUGCCAAGAAAGUUAAUGGAGCUUAAGUCAAUAGUGUUGAUUCCAAGUUAUGAGAGAAAAAGUACUUGGAUAAAAAAAAAUUCUCAAUUAAAAGAAUGGAAAUUUUACAUUUAAAUGGAAAACUUUUAAAUGAUUUUGCUUCAUUUUUUAAAAAACCUUUACUUUCUGUCUUAGAAUCAAUACUAUAUAUUGGUUCCAAGGCAGAAAAAUGCUAAGGGCAAGGCAAUGGAGGUUAAAAGACUUGCCCAGGGUCACACUGCUAGGAAGUGCCUGAGGUCAGAUUUAAGCCCUAGAAACAGCCCUCCUCCCCCAAGCUCUAGACCUGCUCUCAAUUCACUGAGCCACUGAACUGCCCCCUGCUUCAUUUUUAAUGGAAAGGUAUGUUGGGAAAUGACUGAUAUGUUCAAAGAUAAACAUUUUGAUAUAAUUUACUAUAUACUUAAUUAUAGUUUAAUAUAAAUAAAUAUUCAAUUAUAUAUUUUAUAUAUGUUAUA